ACACACCCCUGAUUCCAGAAACACAACAGGAGCUGACUCAAAAGGUCUGGAAGAGUUAGAAAGGGGAAAGAUGACACAAGCAAUAGUGAAGGCUAGUGGAGGGAAGUGGGGCUUUCGUCCAAGGAAGCAAAAAAUCAUAAUGUGUUAUUUUUUAGGGAGUGUCUGGUGCAGGCAUGCAGGGAGGAAGAAUGACUCUGAGCUUGACCAUUCAACUUCGAAACUUUAACAUCAAUGGAUCAGCACACACUGGUGUACGGUCUGCUAUGCAUGCAGCCCUGUGCUAGGCAAAAGAAGUAUCAGACCAGGAACUGACAGCCUCACUGCAACAGGAAGAGAGGCUUCACACAAUAAGCGUUUCAUUCAACCAGGCUGGACCUGUGCUUAUUGAGUUGAACAUCACUGAGCACAAAAUGCAAGCCAGACACCAUAAGAGCUGUAAGGAUGAUAAAGAUGUCUUUCUACCCUCGAGAGCUCUAAGUGUGGUCAGGAGAGAAACACAUGCAAAGAUUAUGCUGGCUGGAAGGAAAUGCUGGAAUGAAGGUGGAAGCAUUCUAUUCAUCUAAAAGCACCGGUAAUUAACGAUGCUAAUAAAUGUAUAAUCCCUUUGUAAACAU
RNAcentral lists this long non-coding RNA (614 nucleotides) under Homo sapiens (human). Its description in RNAcentral is "HSALNT0366844". Lineage: Eukaryota; Metazoa; Chordata; Mammalia; Primates; Hominidae. The record is from RNAcentral.